UACAGAGGGUGCAAGCGUUAAUCGGAAUUACUGGGCGUAAAGCGUGCGUAGACGGUUAUUUAAGUCGGGUGUGAAAUCCCCGGGCUCAACCUGGGAAUUGCAUUCGAUACUGGAUAGCUAGAGUUCGGCAGAGGGAAGUGGAAUUUCCGGUGUAGCGGUGAAAUGCGUAGAUAUCGGAAGGAACAUCAGUGGCGAAAGCGACUUCCUGGACCAGAACUGACGUUCAGGCACGAAAGCGUGGGGAGCAAACAGG
This 253-nucleotide ribosomal RNA is filed under the name uncultured bacterium. RNAcentral's name for it is "partial 16S ribosomal RNA". It matches the Rfam family "Bacterial small subunit ribosomal RNA", at positions 524 to 776 of the family's 1533-position model. The record is from RNAcentral.